UGCGGGUGCUAUAAUGCAGUCGAACGCUUCUUUCCUCCCGAGUGCUUGCACUCAAUUGGAAAGAGGAGUGGCGGACGGGUGAGUAACACGUGGGUAACCUACCCAUCAGAGGGGGAUAACACUUGGAAACAGGUGCUAAUACCGCAUAACAGUUUAUGCCGCAUGGCAUAAGAGUGAAAGGCGCUUUCGGGUGUCGCUGAUGGAUGGACCCGCGGUGCAUUAGCUAGUUGGUGAGGUAACGGCUCACCAAGGCCACGAUGCAUAGCCGACCUGAGAGGGUGAUCGGCCACACUGGGACUGAGACACGGCCCAGACUCCUACGGGAGGCAGCAGUAGGGAAUCUUCGGCAAUGGACGAAAGUCUGACCGAGCAACGCCGCGUGAGUGAAGAAGGUUUUCGGAUCGUAAAACUCUGUUGUUAGAGAAGAACAAGGACGUUAGUAACUGAACGUCCCCUGACGGUAUCUAACCAGAAAGCCACGGCUAACUACGUGCCAGCAGCCGCGGUAAUACGUAGGUGGCAAGCGUUGUCCGGAUUUAUUGGGCGUAAAGCGAGCGCAGGCGGUUUCUUAAGUCUGAUGUGAAAGCCCCCGGCUCAACC
This 600-nucleotide ribosomal RNA is filed under the name Enterococcus faecium. RNAcentral describes it as "bacterial SSU rRNA". It matches the Rfam family "Bacterial small subunit ribosomal RNA", at positions 38 to 614 of the family's 1533-position model. Lineage: Bacteria; Bacillati; Bacillota; Bacilli; Lactobacillales; Enterococcaceae. The record is from RNAcentral.